UGCAGAAGUCACGGGGCGAGGUGG
This 24-nucleotide non-coding RNA is filed under the name Mus musculus (house mouse). Lineage: Eukaryota; Metazoa; Chordata; Mammalia; Rodentia; Muridae. The record is from RNAcentral.